RNAcentral lists this long non-coding RNA (1674 nucleotides) under Salmo salar (Atlantic salmon). RNAcentral's name for it is "lncRNA (ENSSSAG00000084644.1, ENSSSAG00000087418.1)". Lineage: Eukaryota; Metazoa; Chordata; Actinopteri; Salmoniformes; Salmonidae. The record is from RNAcentral.
CAGCCGAACCCCGGGGGGGUCUGAUAUCCGGAUAUUUGUUCCUGACACCAUCCGCUCCGCGGUCAUGGAGUGGGCCCACUCCUCCAGGCUUGCCUGCCACCCGGGUGCCUGUCGGACCCUGGCCUUUGUGCGACAGCACUUUUGGUGGCCAACUAUGGUUCCUGACAUGUCUGCAUUCAUCACCGCUUGCACAGUGUGUGCACAGAACAAGACUCCUAGGCAAGCUCCGGCUGGUCUCCUACAACCUCUGCCUGUCCCCCACCAUCCCUGGUCUCACAUCUCCCUGGCCUUUGUCACGGGUCUUCCCCCGUCUGAUGGCAACAUCGCCAUCCUGACCGUGGUGAAUCGGUUUUCCAAAGCCGCCCACUUCGUUCCUCUCCCUAAACUACCCUCUGCCAAAGAGAUGGCCUAGCUCAUGGUGCAGCACAUCUUCGGGAUCCAUGGACUGCCCGUGGACAUGGUCUCCGACCGGGGUCCUCAGUUCUUGUCCCAGUUCUGGAAGGCGUUCUUCACCCUCAUUUUGUCGUUGGUCAGCCUGUCCUCCGGCUUCCACUCCCAGUCCAACGGCCAGUCAGAGCGAGCCAACCAGGUCCUCGAAACUACCCUGUGCUUCCUGGUCUCCGCCAACCCCACCACCUGGAGCCAGCAGUUUGUGUGGAUCGAAUACGCCUGCAAAACCCUUCCCUGCUCUUCCACGGGCCUAUCUCCCUUUGAGUGUUCCCUGGGGUAUCAGCCCCCGCUCUUCCCUGAGCAGGAAGAGGAGGUUGGCAUACCUUCUGCCCAGAUGUUUGUCCGCCGCUGUUGUCGUACCUGGAGGAGAGACCGGUCGGCCCUCCUCAAGACUACCUCCAGGUAUCAAUGACAAGCAGAUCGCCAUCGGUCCCCGGCUUCCCAGGCAGAAGGCCCACCCCUCCUCCCUGUAUCGUUGAUGGCCAUCCGUACACAGUGAGAUGCCUCCUGAGGGUUCGACCACGGGACAGGGGUUUCCAGUACAUGGUUGACUGGGAGGGUUACAGCCCGGAGGAGGGGUGCUGGGUCCCCGCUAGAGACAUCCUGGACCCAACCCUCAUCGCCGACUUCCACCGCCGGCACCCCGGUCAACCAGAAGCCAUUUGGAAAAACCUGCAACCCAGGAUGCCAUGGAUAAAAGGGUCCAGAUUCAGGUCAACCUUUAGCUGAAAGAGGCCUCCGAUUGUGAAGGUGGGAGAAGGCCGUGCACAGGGGAGAGGGAUCCGCUGCAGUGAGAGUCAGCAUCAAGUCUCGGACCACCUAUCUCAAAACCAGCCUCUACUCCCAAGCCACAAGACUGAUCCAACAGCUGAACCCUGGGCUGACUCCUGCACCUUACCACACACUUACCAUUUAGUCAUAUUCUGUACACAUAAAUCACUUUAGUCUACCGGACCAAUGAAGUAGUUAUGUCAACUGCACUAUGUAGAUAUACUAUUAUUAUAAUUCUAUGCUGCUACUGCAUUGUAGUUAUUCCACUCUAUGGGCAAAACAUUUCCAUACUAUAUGAAUAUAGGCUAUUUUGGUUUUAUCUUAAGGCUGUUUUUGUUUGAUCUUAUUCUUAUUUAUAUCUUAUAUCUUUUUUUGAUCUGCAUGCUUCUUUUGUACAUGUUUUUAUUGUUUAAUUGUUAGUAGGUCACACAGGAAAGGAAUCAAAUAAGUGAC